CCUACGGGAGGCAGCAGUGGGGGAUAUUGCACAAUGGGGGAAACCCUGAUGCAGCGACGCCGCGUGUGGGAAGACGGUCCUCUGGAUUGUAAACCACUGUCCCCAGGGACGAAGAUGACGGUACCUGGGGAGGAAGCGCCGGCUAACUACGUGCCAGCAGCCGCGGUAAGACGGAGGGAGCGAGCGUUGUCCGGAAUUACUGGGUGUAAAGGGAGCGUAGGCGGGACUGCAAGUUGGGUGUCAAAUCUACCGGCUCAACCGGUAGCCGCACUCCAAACUGCAGUUCUUGAGUGAAGUAGAGGCAGGCGGAAUUCCUCGUGUAGCGGUGACAUGCGUAGAUAUUAGGAGGAACCCCAGUGGCGAAGGCGGCCUGCUGUGCUUUUACUGACGCUGAGGCUCGAAAGUGUGGGGAGCAAACAGGAUUAGAUACCCCAGUAGUC
RNAcentral lists this ribosomal RNA (440 nucleotides) under uncultured bacterium. RNAcentral describes it as "partial 16S ribosomal RNA". It matches the Rfam family "Bacterial small subunit ribosomal RNA", at positions 338 to 795 of the family's 1533-position model. The record is from RNAcentral.